GAUUGGUCAACUUUCAAGAACAUGGAUCUUGUGAAAAUUGAUGAACAAGGUGGCAAUAAAAUUUUUCAACUUAUCAAACUAAGUUAUGAUCACCUACCCAUUCAUUUGAAAAAGUGUUUUGCUUUUUGUUCUUUGUUUCCAAAAGAUUUUUUAAUUGAGAAGCAAAUGUUGAUUCGACUUUGGAUUGCAGAGGGAUUUGUUCAGUCAUCAGAUGAAAAUAUAAGUUUAGAAGAUAUUGGUGAAAAGUACUUCAUGGAUUUUGUUCAUAAGUCUUUCUUUCAAAAUAUCACUAAAACAUUUGAUGGCAAGGUAUGUUUCCAAAUGCAUGAUAUUGUGCAUGAUUUGGCAAGUGUAAUUUCAAGAAGUGACUAUGUUUUAGUUAGUGAAAAGGGGCAGCAUAUUGACAAACACAUUCAACACAUUCAUCAUGUCUCUUUUGGCUUUGACUUAGAUUCUUCAUGGCAAGUUCCAACUUCUCUUCUCAAUGCUUACAAACUAAGGACAUUUUUAUUGCCUAUGAAUUUUCAAUUGAAGUGUCUGCUUGUAAUUCCAUCUUGUCAAGUUUUAGACGGUUUCGUGUGUUGCAUCUUAACUGCACAAAGUCAAUGAAGAUUCCAUCUUGUAUUGGUAGGAUGAAACACCUAAGGUAUCUUGAUCUUUCUCAUGGUUAUCAUGUUGAAGAGCUUCCAAGGUCAAUAACUGAAUUAAUUAAUUUGGAGACUCUUUUACUCAAUCAGUGUUAUAGGUUGAGAGAGUUGCCCAAAGAUUUAUGGAAGUUGGUAAGUCUUCGGCAUCUUGAGUUGGAUGAUUGCAAGAGCUUAACUUAUAUGCCAAGUGGAAUUGAAAAAAUGACUAGUCUUCAAACACUGACACCAUUUGUGUUGAAUACGACUUCUAAAGACAGUGCUACAGCUAGUGAACUAAGCAGAUUAAAUAAUUUAAGGGGAAAACUACAGAUAAAAGGCUUGGAAUGCUUGAGGCAUUGUCCUACAGAAGCUAACCAUAUCAAUUUAAGGAGGAAUUCACAUCUUGAUUGGUUAUCAUUAGAUUGGAAUGAACAAAUUGCUGGUGAUGUCAAUGACUUGGAAAAAGAUGAUAUAAUUCUACAUGACAUAGUUUUGCACUCCAAUAUCAAGGUCUUACAAAUAAACGGAUUUGGUGGUGUGACCAUGUCUAGUUUGGUCAAUUUAUCUACAAAUUUGGAUGAAUUGAGAGUAUACGAUUGCACAAGAUUGCAAUAUCUAGAACUUACACAGUUGCAUGUCAAAAGCAUCUUCAUGAGGAAUUUGCCGUCCCUGGAGUGGAUAGUCAGCGACAACAACAAUGGUGAUAAUUCAUCAACCAUUUCUGCAUCACUCACAGAGAUAAGUCUUAUCACAGUCACAGCGAAGACAUUACAGCAAGCAGUCACUCAUUCCAAAGUGGAGUUUCUUGAUAUAGUUAAUAUACUUAAUUUUAAAUCUCUACAUGGAAUCCUUCAACAUCUCACUAGAGUGUCUGAAUUGAGUAUCAGGUAUUGCAACGAGUUUGAUCCGUGCAAUGAUGAAGAUGGUUGUUACAGCAUGAAAUGGAAAGAACUCUCAAACCUCAAAGUGUUGACUUUCAAAGGAAUCCCAAAAAUGAAAUAUUUGCCCGAGGGGCUUCAACACAUUACCACUUUACAAACUCUAAGAAUCUUGGAGUGUGACAGCCUUACAUCUAUACCGGAAUGGGUAACAUCACUGCAAGUGUUAGAUAUCCAAGAUUGUCGGAACGGGACAUCUCUGCCUGCAGCGGUGAAAGAUCAAUAGGUUCAAUUUGCGAUUUAUCAAGUGAGGUAUGGUUGAAACUACUUCUAUUAAGUCUAAAAGAGUUUUCUUUCAAUCUAAAAUUAAUAAGGUUUGAUUUGUUGAUUAUGCCAUUCCUUAUCUAAUAUAUUGUUGGUUUGCCAUAUAUGAAGUUAUAUUGGAAGCUUGCUUAGGGAAACAAUAUUUUUUGAAUAUGUUCUCAUUAUUAUGUGUCUAGUAGCUUCUUAAUUGUUGUGUCUACUGUGAUGUCUUUCUUAGGAUGUUGAGUUUUCCCAUUUUUAAGAAUGAUUGAAAGAUGGUAACUACUCAAGUCAAAGCCCUUAGACAAGCCUAACAAGUUCAGGUUCUCUUCGUUUUCUCCACUUCGGUUUACAAUGAUAUACCAAGUAUUUAACGUUAUUUUUCAUCAUGAUAAUAUCGACUAUGUUCAUUUUUGCUUGCAGGUGGAAACUUAUGUUAUGCUGAUUGUAUCGAUGUCUUAUUUCAAGCUAACUUCUCAAGAACUAGAAUGUGUCUGAUUGUAUCUAGUUACCCUCUGAGAUUCAUUAUAAAUGUGCCGAAUUAUUUGUUGUUCUUAGCUGAACUUAUAAAUAUGUAUUAUAAAGACAAAAUUACACUACAAGUCCUUUAUCUUAUUUUUUUGUAACAUUUUGGUCCUUUAUCUUUUUUUUGUAACACUUUGGUCCUUUAUCUUUUAUUUGUAACACUUUAGUCCUUUAUGUUUUNNNNNNNNNNNNNNNNNNNNNNNNNNNNNNNNNNNNNNNNNNNNNNNNNNNNNNNNNUGUUAUUUGUAACACGUUGGUCCUUUAUUUUUUAUAAAUAAAUAAGAUAAGGACCAAAGUGUUACAAAAAAAAAGAUAAAGGACCAAAUUGUUACAAAAAAAAAUAAAGGACCAAACUGUUACAAUAAAAUAAGAUAAAGGACUUGUAGUGUAAUUUUGCCUAUUAUAAAUAUGUAUUGCAGAAAUUUGAUUAUAUAUUCACAUUUUACCUUUCCUUGGUUGCUAAAAAAGUUAGAGAUUUUCAUUAUUUUAGUUUAAUUGAUAAGAGAUAACUAUUGGUAAUAUUGUGAGUUUUACCAAUCUGCACAGCUAGUUAAGCUUCUUCCAUGAUAGAAAAUGUAAAUGUAAUAAAUUCUUCCUCUAGCAUCCGAAACCACCAGCCACCCCCGACCUGCACAGGACACCUCUGAUUCAAGGCAUGUUUGGUGUGUCCAACAUGUGUCACCUGUUUGACACCGACACAUGUAAAUAUAUUUAAUUAAUUUAUUUUUCAAAUUAUUAUAUAUUAGCAUCGAUUUGUCAGUGUCGUGUCUUAUUUCUAUGUCCGCGUCGGUGCUUCGCAUGUGGUUAGUGAUACUAAAUCGACAUACACUGGAUGGACAAACUAUUAUUUAUAUGGAUUUACAAUUAUUAAUAGUUGUUGCAUUUUCAUGCAACUAUAUUAUAGGACAGGAAAAAACAGGACAUAACAAGAUAGUAAAAGAGCAAAGAUUGGAAUGACAGUACAUCACAUAAUUCAAUAUGAAUAUUGUUCAAGCAGUUAGAACUUUAUUACAAAACAAAAUUAAAUUAGAAGUUUAGCUUUAACUCAACUUUUAUGUUUGGCAAAGUUAAGUUAGAGAAUUGAUGUAGCUUAUUAUCUAGAUUGGAUGAUUUUAAACACAAUUAAACUUAGAAGGACUUCAACAUUGUCCUUGGAUGAUUUGUGUGCAGUCACCGACUGCAUGCAGUCAUUGAUUCAUGACCGUCUAAUUUUGAUCGGAUACUUCAUAAUGAAGGGAUAUUCUAUGUUAUAAAAUGUUAAAUUUUAGCCAUAAAAUUUUAAUGAUCGGACAGUCAGGAAGCCGUGGCUGCAAAACUGCAUGCACAGUGACUCCACAAAAUUCAAAUCCGUCUAAGAACACAAGUUAGUAGGCCUCUGAUAGGGCAUGAUUAGUGAUUUCCAAAGGAUGUGACGGUAGACCGCUCCUAUAGCAGUUAGUCAUUAUGCAAAAAAUCAAUUUUAUUGUAUUCAUAUUAUCAUAUAUGCUUUGCCAAUGAGAAUUGAACCUCGAAUCUCAUGCAUACUACACAAAUUUCUUAUCAUUAGAUCAAAUAUAGUGGCUUAAUGCUAUUUAUGUUACUGUGUACAUAGUUAGUUGAGAAAAUCAUAGACAGGUGGAAAACUUAAUUAGGCAGCUGUAAUUUAGGUGGAAAACUUAAUUUACAUUAAGAACACGGCAAUGAUGUAUCUAUUUAUAUCACCUACAUGGCAAUGAGAAGAAUGGACCAUAAUUCACAAAGAACAGAGUGAAGGAGAGUGAGAGUACUCAUGCCUGUUUGUGGUUGUGGAAAAAAUGUAGAGGCAGACCAAAUUGAAAAAUUGGGUUAACAAACCUAAUCUAGUGCCCUGUUCUCUAAUAUGACACCGACACAUUUAAUUAUAUUAAUUAUUCAAUUAAUUUUUUUUUUGGUACAUAUAUACAAAUAAUUUAUUUUCUCAAAUUAUUAUUAGUAUCGACAUGUUGGUGUCAUGAAUGAUUUCUCUUUCUGUGUCGGUGCUUCACAUGUGGUUAGAGAUACACUGAAUUGACAGACUAGAGCUAAUACCUACAUAGCUGUUGUAUUUUCUUGCAACUAUGCGUUUUUGUUGUUCUAAAUCAUGAUGUAGGGGGAUUGAAAUCUAGAAAUGUGAAGUUGGUUUGUUUAUUGUUGGUUAUAAUUACAUCUUAGUGUAACGCAAAUAAGUUAAGAUUAAAUCUUAGAGGGGAGAAACACCUUAAGCUAGGAUAAAUAUGUCCAAAAUCACAUACAGUACUGAAAUUUCAAUGCGUCCACAUGGUUGAUUGAUGGUUGAUCUAAAAUUUCUGACUGAAAUUUGGCUAUCCGGUCUUUUUUCUUUUUCUUUCACCACAAGUUUAAUCUGGUGGCAUCAAGUGGUUCCAGCCUCCUGCAGAUUACAGUUGCAGGAAAUUGAACCAUGGUCUUUUCUAUCAAGUUUAGCGUCAAUUACCGGUUAACUAACUAACUAUUGGUUGGCCAUACAGUGUCUGUACAUUUGCAUUUACUAGUAGCAUGUGCUUUUGUCUAUCGAUCAUCAAUUAUUGGGGACUCCAAUUAUUGUUCCUUGAAUUUUUUGGUUACGUUACCAAUUAAUGGUUCCUUGAAUUAUUGCUACUUACUUUUUCUGUUUUGUGGUUAUUAUCUACUCCAUCCGUCCUAAAAUAAUUGUCGCAUUUGACUACUAUACAUUUGUAGAUAGAUAAUUUUGAUCAUUAAUAUCCUUUGUUGUGUAUUAUUAAAGAUGUACGAGACUUUCAUGAUCAUGUGACCAUAUAGUCACACUCAUAUAGUUUUUGAUUAUUUAUGAAAUAAUUAAAAUAUUAAAAUAAAAAAUUUAAAUUUUGUGAGUGUGACCAAGAAAUUAUAUUUGGUCACGCGGCCAUAUAAGAAUAAUUCAUUAAAAAUUAUAAAAAUUGAUAUUUUGAUAAUACUUAUCGAGACAAAUCUAACAGGAACUCAUGUGUUAAUAUUUGUCUUUAUAUAUUACUAAAACAUAUGGUCAACGUAGCUUGUAUCAAUGAUAUACACGGUAAAAUUGUGAUAAUUAUUUUGGGACGGAGAGAGUAUAUAAAAACAACGUGAUUUUUUUAAGUAUUACUACUUUUUCUUUUGAAAAAAAAAAGAUAUUUUGUUUAAUUACAUCUUUAUAAAGUAAUUUGCCUAAAAAAAUAAAAUAAUUACUAUGAUGUUCCUUCGAUGUCUUUGGUUGGAUUUGGAUCCUCUCCAAUUUUCCCUUAUGAUUUUUCUCCUUUUUCUUAAUCCAAGGGUUGGUAAAUUACAAAGAAUAAAAAGGAGAGAAUUAUCAAACCUUGGAUUAAGAAAAAAGAAAAAAACAUGAAGGAAAAUCGGAGAGGAUCCAAAUCCGUCUUUAGGGACUAAAUCCAUUAUUAUGAUGUCUUAUAAUUGUCUUAAUUUAUCUAAAAAAAAUAAAAUAAUUUAAGGACUAAAUUAUGGCGCCUUUUAAGAUGGAAGAGACCAAUAGGUCUUCUCACAAUGGUAAACUUCUCACAAGGACUAAAUUAUGGCGCCUUUUUAUAUUUGUUGCAAUUUUGAUCUUAAUUAACUCAUCUUUAAAAAGAUGAUUUAUUAUUUAAAGUAUUGACCCUAAUGAUAAAAAUAUCAUAUUUGAAAGCAAAAUUCAUCUCUUCUAAUAUUAAAAAUUGUCAUUUUGUAGACAAAACUCAUUAGUUAUGCCCAAAAUCAUAACAAACGUAAACAUAUGGGACAAAAUACAAUUGAGCCAAAAGAUAAAUAUCUUUUCAAAAAUUUGAAUUAAGUUUAAAGACAUUUUGUACUGUACAGUCACAGAAACAUAUGGUUGAUUGAUGGUUGAUCUGACAUUUCAGACUGAAAUUAUGGUUUUGUCUAUCGACCAUCAAUUAUUGUUCUUUAAUGAUUGCUACCUACAUUUCAAACGUAAAUAAAAAACAUAUUUCUUCAAUUAUUGGUUUUUCUUUUGUAAACUAAACUAUAUCAAUUAUUGCUUUUUCUUUCCAAAAUCUUGUGCACCUUAUUCAUUUGUGAGAAAAAUGGCUGACGGUUUAUUGUUUAACACGAUUGAGAAGCUGAUCGGGAAGCUGGGUUCUAUGGCUGUGGAGACCUGGAACAUGAGAGAUCAUCUUGGAAAGCUGGUGGAAAACAUGUCUGAGAUCAAGGCUGUGGUUUUGGAUGCAGAGGUGCAGCAGAGCAACAGCCAACAAGUUCAACUUUGGUUGGAAAGGCUCAAAGAUGCUCUUGAUGAUGCUGAUGACUUGCUUGAUGACUUCAACACUGAAGAGUUAAGGCGACAGGUCAUGACCAGUGACAAGAAGGCUAAGGAGAUUCGCAUCUUCUUCUCAUCUUCUAACCAAAUUUUCUAUUCAUUCAAAAUGGCUGGGAAAAUUAAGGAACUUGGUAAGAAAAUCAAGGACCUUGAUGUUGGUAAAAGAACUUUUAAUUUUACUAAUCGCACUCCUGAGNNNNNNNNNNNNNNNNNNNNNNNNNNNNNNNNNNNNNNNNNNNNNNNNNCCAUAACUGGACUUGGAGGACUUGGAAAGACUACGCUUGCUCACCUUAUAUACAACAACAAAAAAGUGCAACAACAUUUUGAGUUGAAGGAAUGGGUGGUUGUUUCUGAUCCUUUCGAUGUAAUAGGUAUUGCUGCAAAGAUCAUCGGAUCAAAAACUAAUAUUGUUGAGAUGAAUAAAGUGCAGCCGGAGCUUCGCGAAAAAGUUGAGGGCAAGAGAUAUCUGCUUGUCUUGGAUGACAUUUGGAAUGAGGAUCGUGAACUUUGGCUUCAAUUGAUGUCACUACUGAAAGACGGAGCAAAAGGAAGUAAAAUAAUUAUCACCACGAGAAGUGAGAAGGUAGCCAAGGUAUGUAGUUCAUCUUCAAUCUUCUCUUUAAAGGGUCUUGAUGAAGAACAAUCUUGGAGAUUAUUCAGUCAACUAGCUUUUGAGAAUGAAAAGGAUCUAGAGAAUGAGAAUUUGGUGCCAAUUGGUAAGGAAAUUGUGAAAAAAUGCUCAGGGGUUCCUCUCGCAAUUAGAAGCAUCGGAUGCCUAUUGUAUAACAUGGAGGCUAAGGAGGAUUGGUUAACCUUCAAGAACAGAGAUCUUAUAAAAAUUGAUGAGCAAGCUGAAAAUAAAAUUUUUCAAAUUAUCAAACUAAGUUAUGAUCAUCUACCCUUUCAUUUGAAAAAGUGUUUUGCAUUUUGUUCUUUGUUUCCAAAAGAUUAUUUAAUUGAGAAGCAAAUGCUGAUUCGACUUUGGAUUGCACAAGGAUUUGUUCAGUCAUCA
This 7605-nucleotide long non-coding RNA is filed under the name Trifolium pratense (red clover). RNAcentral describes it as "long non-coding RNA (TPRA_LNC002392)". The record is from RNAcentral. Lineage: Eukaryota; Viridiplantae; Streptophyta; Magnoliopsida; Fabales; Fabaceae.